Molecule: long non-coding RNA, 266 nt
Filed under: Mytilus galloprovincialis (Mediterranean mussel)
Lineage: Eukaryota; Metazoa; Mollusca; Bivalvia; Mytilida; Mytilidae
Source: RNAcentral
UUUUCUGCUCUUUAGUCGGGUUGUUGUCUCUUUGACACAUUCCCCAUUUCUAUUCUCAAUUUUAUUUAUGCAGAUUUGUUAAAUGGGAUAAAGUGGCUGCCUAAUAAAAGUAUGUUAAUGUGACAGAAUUUUAAGUUUAACAACCUUUUAUACUUUGUUUAUUAAAGUCUUAGCUCAUUAAGGACACCAUUAUAUCAUCAGUAUUAAGGAGAAGUGGUGAGAUAAUGGUACAUUCCAUGCUUGAUUGAAACAAAACUGUAAAUUUU